UUCCCCACAGAGCCAGGGGGUGGAAGAGGGGCCUUUUGAUGACAGUGAGGCCCAGGAGAUAAGAAAUCUCACUGCUGUUCUCGAAAUCACUUUCUCUGCCAGGUUUAAGGCCUGCAGGUGCAUGGAAGGGCCCUGGCAGCCCCUCCUCAAAGCACACCAGUGCUGAUGUGGGGGCCUUGAUGUCAGGGCUCCUGCGGAGAUCAUGGGGCAGGCGCCCACCUGCCAUGGCAGAUGAGGCUCAGGCACCAGUGACUCCCACCAGCAGGUGCUCCUGUCCUUAGCUCAGUGGUCCAGGGAGCAGGGAAGCCCAUGAGCACUGACAGAGGCCACCCGCCCCAGGGAACCAGCAGCUGGGGUCUGAGUGCUUCUCUCAGAGGCCUGCUCCGGGAACAUAGCAGGGAAGGCUGUCCCUGUCACGGGUCCUUGGUGCCUUGGAGCUGGCUGGACCCUCACAGUCAGGGUCGUGUCCCCUGCAGAACACAGUUCCACAAGCCACUGACCCAGGCCACUGUCACUGAGACAAAUCCACACGCACACCACAGGGCGCCGGUUCCCCUCACCCAACCCCAGCUCUGCCUCCCAUCUCACUCCUGCUGUCUUCCAGACAGGACUCGCUGCGACACGGUCACAGAGUCACCCAUGCCACCUGGCCCAGGACGACCGCCCCAAGCAUAACAGAUGGUGCCAGCCUUCGCACUGGGUCAGGUCAGUGCCAACACCAACACCAUUUGCUUCUCAGCUGUCUGGAGGACACAAGCAUCAGGACGAGCCGCCAGCCUGCCCUGCCACUUCGGCUACUCACAGGAGGGCCUGGGAGGCCCGGGAAUCCAUCGAGUCCGUCGCGCCCAGGGACACCGUCGUCGCCUUUCAUUCCAUGCACACCUGGGACACCGGGUUGUCCUCUCUCACCUGGGAAGGAAUUCGCAAGUGAAUCUCCUGAUGCAUCCACUGGAGAGCCAAGUGGCCCAAGCUGCCCGGCCACAGGAACUGACCUUUAGUGGUUAUUGUUCUGGAAUCCCCUUUAAUUCCCUUGGGCCCAGGAACACCAGCGAUGCCAGAGACUCCCUGUGGAGACAAAGGGACAAGCGUUUCUCCCUUUAGGCUGCUUGGGACACCUACGGAGAGAAUGCUGAGUAGCUCACACAACCCACGGGCAGUUGCCUGUCCCCAAGCCCAGUGCUGCUCAGAGAAGCCCUGAAGUGCCAGAAAUGCUCUGUUGGGCUAUCUGGCAAGUGACCACCUGCCACAGUGCCCAUCAAGCCCUGUCACUAAAAAUGGACAGUAGGACUGAGGAAUUGAAUUUAGAUAUUUUUAAAAAUUUUAAUUAAAAUGUAAUGGAAGUGCCCCAGGUAGUUGGACGGUGGAAACCUAGACUCGCUACUCAGGGUGCCAUCCCCAGACCAGUGUGCUCAGCAUCUCUGGUGAGAGAUACUGAUGCUUAGCCCCACCUCCCUGAGGCAGCCAGAGGGUGACCUGCUUCUUAAAUAGGAUUCCUGGACCCAGUGCCUUUGAGAAGCAUUGACCUAAAACAGGAGGCUGCCGAACUCUUACCUACAGGUUUGGAUCCCGGCAGGUUAUGAACUUCUAAGUACAAUGCUUAGAAACUCGGAUCAUUUACCAUUGUGAGCAAUCAAUGUAUUUAAUUCAUGGUUUCUUUUGCAAAAUGAAGUUUAGGUUGAGGGAAAAAUAGGGCUUAGAGAGAAGUUGGUUACAGGGACACUCGAGUUCAGGUCGUAAGAUCUCAGGCGGCUUUUUCAAUGGGCAGAAGUGAGUGGGGAUUGUAUUUUAAUGUGUGUUAUGUUAGUUUUAGGGCAUAUCUUAGUUGAUGCUAUUUCCAGGAAUUUAGGACCUCUGAACUGAGUGGAGAGUGGCCACACAGCUGCUAGAGCAGAAUGAGUGUUGGUUUAAAGAAAUAGUCAGUUACAAGAGACUGUGGGCUCCUUUCUCCUGGCAAAGUCCACAGAUACUAGAUUUAUUGAUGACUUGGCUCUCUGCAGAAGAGGGCAACAUUCUUCCAGCAUCCAGGACAGUGUCCCACACAGACUUGCUCAGUAAAUACGUUGUGUCAAUGGACAGGAGGAAGAAUGUAUUUACUGGCCGACUCCUAAGCCUCAAGGCCUCUGCCAGACUCUGUCAGUACAAGUGUCAAAAACAAACCAUAAUUACAAGAACUCAUCUCAGCCAUCCCACUGCAGGGGGCUGCUGAACCUGAGCAUAUGACCAAACGCAAGACAACGGGCACAACAGGAACAUGCUCUUUGUGCUCAGCACGGCCUUUCCCAGGCCUGUCCACACUGCAGCACGAAUCAGUGGUGGUCCUGAUUUAUAGCGGAUCCGAUUCCUUUGUAUGGAGAGCCCAAGUUUGGUUCACCUGUUCACCGGAGGAUGGACAGGUUAUUGUCUCUUUGUUUUGACUCGUAUGAGUAAUGUCCCUGUGCACAUUGGUGCACACAUAUUUUCAUGGACGUGGGUGUUGGAUUCUUUUGGGUUUCUCCUGGGAGUGAAUUUCUGGCCUUGGUGGUGACCCCUGUCUAACUUUUUGAGGUGUGAGACCUUCUUCCACAGUGGCUGUACCAGGUCACACUCCCAGUGGUAAAAGCUUUUGAGGUUCA
Marmota monax (woodchuck) is the source of this 2612-nucleotide long non-coding RNA. RefSeq lists it as uncharacterized. The transcript has 2 exons. Lineage: Eukaryota; Metazoa; Chordata; Mammalia; Rodentia; Sciuridae. The record is from RefSeq and is a predicted model, not a curated record.